This is a small nucleolar RNA of Gossypium arboreum, 107 nucleotides long. It matches the Rfam family "Plant small nucleolar RNA R71". Rfam says of the family: R71 is a member of the C/D box family of snoRNAs containing the C (UGAUGA) and D (CUGA) box motifs. Lineage: Eukaryota; Viridiplantae; Streptophyta; Magnoliopsida; Malvales; Malvaceae. The record is from Rfam.
AUUCCAUGAUGAAGACACUUACGAAGUAACUCCUUGAAUCGCUUCCAAGCCUCAUACAAAGACUCGUCAUCCAAUUGUUGGAAAGUUGAGAUCCUGUUCCUCAACUU